Molecule: long non-coding RNA, 2535 nt
Filed under: Zea mays
Lineage: Eukaryota; Viridiplantae; Streptophyta; Magnoliopsida; Poales; Poaceae
Description: long non-coding RNA (ZMAY_LNC004328)
Source: RNAcentral
UCUUUGAUGUUAUUGGGUUUGUCUACUGUCACACCUGGAUUUAAGGGAUAAAGUCGGGUACGUCUCAUAUGUGCGCCAAGGAAGAACAACACAUAUAAUAACAGAGUGUAUAGAGACAAAUGUCACAAUAUCAUGAAAGUGAUUAUUACAUAGCGGAAUUGUUACAAAAAUAAAUUAUAAAUAUAAAACGAACUAAGAGUCCAUCCAAGGCACCAUAAAGCUGACUGAGAGACGCCACCUAGAUCAAAUCAUACUCCUCGUUGUACGGCUCCUAAUGGACGCCUUGUUCUUCUCCUAUGGGGGUUAUAUAUCGCAAGUGUGAGCUCACAAAAGAUCAUAGCUCAACAAGUUAUGGGGAAUAAUGUGCAAGAAGUCACCAAAGGUGGAGUUCAUAUGAUGUGUAAGGCUGAUCAACAAUAGGGCUUAAAGCUGAGCAUUGCUUUUAAUAAGUUGGUCAAAUUUUAUUAACAAUUACUGGAUGUAAGUAAAUACCAAACCAUAAUAAUAAUAGAACAAACUUAAUAAUAAAUCCCAUGCAAUGAAAAUAACAAAUUGAAUUUAGUUCCAUAAUUUAAUCAUGCGAGAGUCCUGAGCUGCUCAUGACCGCGAGCACGGCUAGUAUACCAGUUUUACACUCUGCAGAGGUUGUACCCUGUACCCACAAGUCAUGUUACCCAUCUGCCAAGGGGUCAUGAAUCCCAUACAUCUCUACCAAGGAGGCGAGGCAGGGUAACACUACGAGGCCUUUACAAAGUUCCACUAGCUUCAGAAAACCUGCUAUAGUUCUAGGAAGAGUAAUGCAUGAAUCCCCCGUCUGACCUCCAUCGAAGCAAAAUCAACCCGGGAACCUCCCUACACGCCUACUCCCCUACUGCCCUUGCCCCUAUCGGGUAAGGUAGUCCUCCACUAGCUUUCCUAGUUAGUCAGCUAAGGGCGUCCCAUUCCACCCUUGUGGUGGCACGUGUUUCUCAAGUUAAGCUCCAUGGUCCAAUUAAAAAAUAAUGGUCUUGACAUGAACAAUAAAUAAAAUUACAGUAUAAUUGGAACAUGAUCAUAAUGUGAUAUUAAACCCAAAACCAUAUAGACCAAUAGCAAAACUACCCAAAUAAUUCAGGGGUGAACAAGGUAAAAAGAUAACCAGACUAGGCUGGCCUAUUGGGUCCCAUCAAAAUUAAGCCUAUGCAUGGAUAAGUGAUAAUAAAGAACAUUAUUGGGUAACAAAAGUGGUCAAGGGCAUAAAUUGCCUUCAAUGAGCUCCUGCUCAGCAACUUCUACAUGCUGAACACCCGGAUCCUUGGCCACUGCUCUUCUACUCGCCACAAUACAAUCAAGCAUAGUAUAAAAGGAGAAAUUAACAUCACACCAAACAUGUAUACAAAAUACAUAUUAAUAAUCUACACAUUAAAAUAAGAUCAUAGGAAAAACAAUCACUAAAUUCGGAGUUACAGAUAUUUAGUUAUGAAUUUCCGAAGGUUUUAUGUAUUUGAUACAAUAUUAAUUAAGAGAUCAAUUUUAAUACAGUUUUCAUGUCAAAAUAGAGAUGCUAUGUGAUGAACAAUAUUAUUAGAAAAUUACGGGAACUGGAAUGGACUAAAAAGAAAUUAAAAUGAAUUUUAUAUGCAUUUUACAAGUUUCUAGAAUUAUUUUGUAUUAAAAAUCAAUUUCUAUAAUUAAUUCUAUAAUUUCUCUGGUUUCUGGACUGGCGCAUAAAUACAGAUAAGUACAGGGGUUAAUGCGCGAAAAGUCCUAAGACUUAGUGUGCCUGACUCUGGACCGCGGGUUGAUUCCCUAAAAACUAAGGGGCCAAUUUGUUAGCUCGACCGACUAAAAGGGUAUCUACGGAUCUGGGCUACCAGAUCUAAAACCUGUGGCCAGGAUUAGAUCGGGUAUACAAUGAAACGGUAGCGGCGCCCACCGUUCGAUUAUUGGUCAACGACCUAGGUUUAACACUCCUAGCAUGGCCCCAGAGACGCCCGAUCGAGCUCCGAGGGCGCGAAUGCAACAGCCCAAAGGGGUACGCCAUACUCUAAUCCUACUCGUACGUGUGCAAUCCGACGGCUACGGUAGCGUCUUCUUCCUUAGCGCCAGACGACGGUCACGACCGUGCGGCAAUAGCGGCGACAUUACCGGUGUAAGCCGAUUCUGGCCCAUGGUGCCCUACCGAGCUUCUAAUCCGACUCCAGACGAAGCGAAAGAUCAUACUAACAUAUGAAUGGGACCUUACCAUAAUAGAAGUGGUGAGGUGCUCGUCGAUCCGCCGAAACGAGUCCGCGGCGACGCUGAAUUCCGAUGAGAAAUUCUCGGUCAAAUCCGGCUUCCCGGUUCCCAUGGCUUCCUCGACUCGUUACCCACUUCUCCCGCGCACACUCCCCUGUUCGCCAAUCGUCCCUGUGAAUGAUGAAUCGCGCAGCGGCACAACCCUCCCCUGCUCUAGUUCCUGGCGUUAGGCAAAACCGUCCUCGGACGAUGGGGCGCAUGAGCUUAUAUCAUCCCUGAGUCCGCGAGAUGACCGACAGCCCAUGAACGGCAUACCAC